RNAcentral lists this ribosomal RNA (468 nucleotides) under uncultured bacterium. RNAcentral's name for it is "partial 16S ribosomal RNA". It matches the Rfam family "Bacterial small subunit ribosomal RNA", at positions 28 to 507 of the family's 1533-position model. The record is from RNAcentral.
GACGAACGCUGGCGGCGUGCUUAACACAUGCAAGUCGAACGGAAAGGCCCUGCUUUGGUGGGGUGCUCGAGUGGCGAACGGGUGAGUAACACGUGAGUAACCUGCCCUGGACUUUGGGAUAACUUCAGGAAACGGGGGCUAAUACCGGAUAAGAGCACCUGCUGCAUGGUAGGGGUUGGAAAGGUUCGGCGGUUGGGGAUGUACUCGCGGCUUAGUAGCUUGUGGGAGGGGUAGUGGCUUACCAAGGCUAUGACGGGGAGCCGGCCUGAGAGUGUGACCGGCCACAUUGGGCCUGAGAUACGGCCCAGACUCCUCCGUGAGGCAGCAGUGGGGAAUAUUGCACACUGGGCGGAAGCCUUAUGCAGCAACGCCGCGUCCGGGAUGACGGCCUUCGGGUUGUAAACCGCUUUCGCCUGUGACGAAGCGUCAGUGACGGUAAUUGGUAAAGAAGCACCGGCUAACUACGUG